Molecule: RNase P RNA, 319 nt
Filed under: Helicobacter enhydrae
Lineage: Bacteria; Pseudomonadati; Campylobacterota; Epsilonproteobacteria; Campylobacterales; Helicobacteraceae
Description: Helicobacter sp. MIT 01-6242 Bacterial RNase P class A
Rfam family: Bacterial RNase P class A
About the family: Ribonuclease P (RNase P) is a ubiquitous endoribonuclease, found in archaea, bacteria and eukarya as well as chloroplasts and mitochondria.
Source: Rfam by way of RNAcentral
UAGGUGUAGUAGGUGGCUACUUUGUUUUCAAAGAGGAAAGUCCGAGCUACACAAAGACAGGAUUCCAUUUAACAAAUGGCUAGAGUAAUCUAAGGGAAAGUGCAACAGAAAAUAACCGCCACUUGUGGUAAGGGUGAAAAGGCGGGGUAAAAGCCCACCGAUUUUGGAGCAAUCCAAAAUGCCGUGCAAACCCAAUCCGUAGCAAGAGAAGUUGGUUUGAAGUCUUUGAUUUUUGCUUCUCGCUUGAUGGGUAUUGUGAAAUACCCACUAGAUAAAUAUCCACCCACGACAGAACUCGGCUUAUCGCUACGCCUAUCAC